GCGUGAGGGAUGACGGCCUUCGGGUUGUAAACCUCUUUUAGCAGGGAAGAAGCGAAAGUGACGGUACCUGCAGAAAAAGCGCCGGCUAACUACGUGCCAGCAGCCGCGGUAAUACGUAGGGCGCAAGCGUUAUCCGGAAUUAUUGGGCGUAAAGAGCUCGUAGGCGGUUUGUCGCGUCUGCUGUGAAAUCCCGAGGCUCAACCUCGGGCCUGCAGUGGGUACGGGCAGACUAGAGUGCGGUAGGGGAGAUUGGAAUUCCUGGUGUAGCGGUGGAAUGCGCAGAUAUCAGGAGGAACACCGAUGGCGAAGGCAGAUCUCUGGGCCGUAACUGACGCUGAGGAGCGAAAGGGUGGGGAGCAAACAGGCUUAGAUACCCUGGUAGUCCACCCCGUAAACGUUGGGAACUAGUUGUGGGGACCAUUCCACGGUUUCCGUGACGCAGCUAACGCAUUAAGUUCCCCGCCUGGGGAGUACGGCCGCAAGGCUAAAACUCAAAGGAAUUGACGGGGACCCGCACAAGCGGCGGAGCAUGCGGAUUAAUUCGAUGCAACGCGAAGAACCUUACCAAGGCUUGACAUACACCAGAACACCGUAGAAAUACGGGACUCUUUGGACACUGGUGAACAGGUGGUGCAUGGUUGUCGUCAGCUCGUGUCGUGAGAUGUUGGGUUAAGUCCCGCAACGAGCGCAACCCUCGUUCUAUGUUGCCAGCACGUAAUGGUGGGAACUCAUG
Molecule: ribosomal RNA, 733 nt
Filed under: Microbacterium sp. LS-723
Lineage: Bacteria; Bacillati; Actinomycetota; Actinomycetes; Micrococcales; Microbacteriaceae
Description: bacterial SSU rRNA
Rfam family: Bacterial small subunit ribosomal RNA
Source: RNAcentral